Dromiciops gliroides (monito del monte) is the source of this 143-nucleotide small nucleolar RNA. RefSeq annotates it as small nucleolar RNA SNORA17. The record is from RefSeq and is a predicted model, not a curated record. NCBI's taxonomy places the organism in Eukaryota, Metazoa, Chordata, Mammalia, Microbiotheria, Microbiotheriidae. The transcript has a single exon.
UCUGCCCCCUAGAGGCAUUACCGAUAUGACUGCUGUGUCAUGUUUGGAAUUAGGUGGCAAAGAGAGAAAGGCUAUGUCUACGCCCAGUUAAUACAAAGGGCUAUCAGUGGCAGAAAACCAUUGGGUUUUUUUUAUAUUAUAGU